This 474-nucleotide ribosomal RNA is filed under the name uncultured bacterium. RNAcentral describes it as "bacterial SSU rRNA". It matches the Rfam family "Bacterial small subunit ribosomal RNA", at positions 43 to 524 of the family's 1533-position model. The record is from RNAcentral.
CAGGCCUAACACAUGCAAGUCGAACGGUGGCAGCAAUGUCAUAGUGGCGCACGGGUGCGUAACACGUAGCUAACCUGCCCAGACCUGGGGGAUAGCCCGCCGAAAGGCGGAUUAAUACCGCAUAAGAUAAUAAGGUGGCAUCACCUAGUUAUUAAAGAUUUAUCGGGUUUGGAUGGGGUUGCGGGUCAUUAGCUAGUUGGUAAGGUAACGGCUUACCAAGGCGACGAUGACUAGGGGAGCUGAGAGGCUGGUCCCCCACACGGGCACUGAGAUACGGGCCCGACUCCUACGGGAGGCAGCAGUAGGGAAUAUUGGGCAAUGGGCGAGAGCCUGACCCAGCCAUGCCGCGUGCAGGAAGAAGGCUUUCUGAGUCGUAAACUGCUUUUGAUAGGGAAGAAUAACCAGUACGUGUACUGGGAUGACGGUACCUACAGAAUAAGCACCGGCUAACUCCGUGCCAGCAGCCGCGGUAAU